GACAGAGGGUGCAAACGUUGCUCGGAAUUACUGGGCGUAAAGCGCGUGUAGGCUGACCGGAAAGUCGGGCGUGAAAUCCCUGGGCUCAACCCAGGAACUGCACUCGAAACUCCCGGUCUUGAGUGGUGGAGAGGGAAGUGGAAUUCCUGGUGUAGAGGUGAAAUUCGUAGAUAUCAGGAGGAACACCAGUGGCGAAGGCGGCUUCCUGGACACCAACUGACGCUGAGACGCGAAAGCGUGGGGAGCGAACGGG
This 253-nucleotide ribosomal RNA is filed under the name uncultured bacterium. Its description in RNAcentral is "partial 16S ribosomal RNA". It matches the Rfam family "Bacterial small subunit ribosomal RNA", at positions 524 to 776 of the family's 1533-position model. The record is from RNAcentral.